RNAcentral lists this ribosomal RNA (496 nucleotides) under uncultured bacterium. Its description in RNAcentral is "partial 16S ribosomal RNA". It matches the Rfam family "Bacterial small subunit ribosomal RNA", at positions 28 to 506 of the family's 1533-position model. The record is from RNAcentral.
GAUGAACGCUGGCGGCGUGCCUAAUACAUGCAAGUCGAGCGAACGGACGAGAAGCUUGCUUCUCUGAUGUUAGCGGCGGACGGGUGAGUAACACGUGGAUAACCUACCUAUAAGACUGGGAUAACUUCGGGAAACCGGAGCUAAUACCGGAUAAUAUUUUGAACCGCAUGGUUCAAAAGUGAAAGACGGUCUUGCUGUCACUUAUAGAUGGAUCCGCGCUGCAUUAGCUAGUUGGUAAGGUAACGGCUUACCAAGGCAACGAUGCAUAGCCGACCUGAGAGGGUGAUCGGCCACACUGGACCUGAGACACGGUCCAGACUCCUACGGGAGGCAGCAGUAGGGAGUCUUCCGCAAUGGGCGAAAGCCUGACGGAGCAACGCCGCGUGAGUGAUGAAGGUCUUCGGAUCGUAAAACUCUGUUAUUAGGGAAGAACAUAUGUGUAAGUAACUGUGCACAUCUUGACGGUAGCUAAUCAGAAAGCCACGGCUAACUACGU